GGGGGUAUAGCUCAGCUGGGAGAGCAGCAGACUGAAGUAAUACGUAACACGUGCACUUUCUGAAGGUCCCGCGUUCGAUCCGCGGUACCCCCA
This is a non-coding RNA of Dendrothele bispora CBS 962.96, 93 nucleotides long. Lineage: Eukaryota; Fungi; Basidiomycota; Agaricomycetes; Agaricales. The record is from the annotation of a GenBank genome assembly.